GAUGAACGCUGGCGGCGUGCCUAAUACAUGCAAGUCGAGCGAACGGACGAGAAGCUUGCUUCUCUGAUGUUAGCGGCGAACGGGUGAGUAACACGUGGAUAACCUACCUAUAAGACUGGGAUAACUUCGGGAAACCGGAGCUAAUACCGGAUAAUAUUUUGAACCGCAUGGUUCAAAAGUGAAAGACGGCGUUGCUGUCACUUCUAGAUGGAUCCGCGCUGCAUUAGCUAGUUGGUAAGUUAACGGCUUACCAAGGCAACGAGGCAUAGACGACGUGAGAGAGUGAUCGGCCACACUGGAAGUGGGACACGGUCCAGACUCCUACGGGAGGCAGCAGUAGGGAAUCUUACGCAAUGGGCGAAAGCCUGACGGAGCAGCGCCGCGUGAGUGAUGACGGUCUUCGGAUCGUAAAACUCUGUUAUUAGGGAAAAACAUAUGUGUAAGUAACUGUGCACAUCUUGACGGUACCUAAUCAGAAAGCAACGGCUAACUACGUG
Molecule: ribosomal RNA, 497 nt
Filed under: uncultured bacterium
Lineage: Bacteria
Description: partial 16S ribosomal RNA
Rfam family: Bacterial small subunit ribosomal RNA
Source: RNAcentral